This 445-nucleotide ribosomal RNA is filed under the name uncultured bacterium. RNAcentral describes it as "partial 16S ribosomal RNA". It matches the Rfam family "Bacterial small subunit ribosomal RNA", at positions 354 to 796 of the family's 1533-position model. The record is from RNAcentral.
GUGAGGAAUAUUGCGCAAUGGAGGCAACUCUGACGCAGCCAUGUCGCGUGCAGGAAGAAGGCGCUACGCGUUGUAAACUGCUUUUAACCGGGAAGAAACCCCAGGACGUAUCCUGGGUUGACGGUACCGGAGGAAUAAGCACCGGCUAACUUCGUGCCAGCAGCCGCGGUAAUACGAAGGGUGCAAGCGUUAUCCGGAUUCAUUGGGUUUAAAGGGUGCGUAGGCGGAGCGUUAAGUCAGUGGUGAAAUCCUGCAGCUUAACUGUAGACUUGCCAUUGAUACUGGCGCUCUUGAGUGCGGUUGAAGUGGGCGGAAUGUGCCGUGUAGCGGUGAAAUGCUUAGAUAUGGCACAGAACACCAAUUGCGAAGGCAGCUCACUAAGGCGAUACUGACGCUGAGGCACGAAAGCGUGGGGAUCGAACAGGAUUAGAAACCCCAGUAGUCC